This 531-nucleotide ribosomal RNA is filed under the name Priestia flexa. RNAcentral's name for it is "bacterial SSU rRNA". It matches the Rfam family "Bacterial small subunit ribosomal RNA", at positions 61 to 577 of the family's 1533-position model. The record is from RNAcentral. Lineage: Bacteria; Bacillati; Bacillota; Bacilli; Caryophanales; Bacillaceae.
GUCGAGUGAACUGAUUAGAAGCUUGCGUCUAUGACGUUAGUGGCGGAGGGGUGAGUAACACGUGGGCAACCUGCCUGUAAGACUGGGAUAACUCCGGGAAACCGGAGCUAAUACCGGAUAACAUUUUUUCUUGCAUAAGAGAAAAUUGAAAGAUGGUUUCGGCUAUCACUUACAGAUGGGCCCGCGGUGCAUUAGCUAGUUGGUGAGGUAACGGCUCACCAAGGCAACGAUGCAUAGCCGACCUGAGAGGGUGAUCGGCCACACUGGGACUGAGACACGGCCCAAACUCCUACGGGAGGCAGCACUAGGGAAUCUUCCGCAAUGGACGAAAGUCUGACGGAGCACCGCCGCGUGAGUGAUGAAGGCUUGGGGGGCGUAAAACUCUGUUGUUAGGGAAAAACAAGUACAAAAGUAACUGCUUGUACCUUGACGGUCCCUAACCAAAAACCCACGGCUAACUACGUGCCAGCAGCCGGGGUAAUCCGUAGGUGGGAAGGUUUUCGGAUUUUUGGGGUAAACCGCGCGCAGGGG